AUUGAACGCUGGCGGCAUGCUUUACACAUGCAAGUCGAACGGCAGCGCGGGCUUCGGCCUGGCGGCGAGUGGCGAACGGGUGAGUAAUACAUCGGAACGUGCCCAGUAGUGGGGGAUAGCUCGGCGAAAGCCGGAUUAAUACCGCAUACGACCUGAGGGUGAAAGCGGGGGAUCUUCGGACCUCGCGCUAUUGGAGCGGCCGAUGGCAGAUUAGCUAGUUGGUGGGGUAAAGGCCUACCAAGGCGACGAUCUGUAGCUGGUCUGAGAGGACGACCAGCCACACUGGGACUGAGACACGGCCCAGACUCCUACGGGAGGCAGCAGUGGGGAAUUUUGGACAAUGGGCGAAGGCCUGAUCCAGCAAUGCCGCGUGUGUGAUGAAGGCCUUCGGGUUGUAAAGCACUUUUGGCGGGAACGAAAAGGACUGUGCCAAUACCACGGUUGGAUGACGGUACCCGCAGAAUAAGCACCGGCUAACUACGUG
This 484-nucleotide ribosomal RNA is filed under the name uncultured bacterium. RNAcentral's name for it is "partial 16S ribosomal RNA". It matches the Rfam family "Bacterial small subunit ribosomal RNA", at positions 29 to 507 of the family's 1533-position model. The record is from RNAcentral.